CCUACGGGAGGCUGCAGUGGGGAAUAUUGCUCAAUGGGGGAGACCCUGAUGCAGCGACGCAGCGUGAACGAUGAAGUAUCUCGGUAUGUAAAGCUCUAUCAGUAGGGAAGAAAAUGACGGUACCUGACUAAGAAGCCCUGGCUAACUACGAGCCAGCAGCCGCGGUAAUACGCAGGGGGCCAGCGUUAUCCGGAUUUACUGGGUGUAAGGGGAGCGUAGACGGUCCUGCAAGCCAGAUGUGAAAGUGCGCGGCUCAACCCCAGGACUGCAUUUGAAACUGUAAGGCUAGAGUGUCGGAGAGGCAGGCGGAAUUCGUAGUGUAGCGGUGAUAUGCGUAGAUAUUAGGAGGAACACCAGUUGCGAAGGCGGCCUGCUGGACGAUGACUGACGUUGAGGCUCGAAAGCGUGGGGAGCAAACAGGAUUAGAUACCCUUGUAGUC
This 440-nucleotide ribosomal RNA is filed under the name uncultured bacterium. Its description in RNAcentral is "partial 16S ribosomal RNA". It matches the Rfam family "Bacterial small subunit ribosomal RNA", at positions 338 to 795 of the family's 1533-position model. The record is from RNAcentral.